UGGGGAAUUUUGGACAAUGGGGGAAACCCUGAUCCAGCCAUCCCGCGUGUGCGAUGAAGGCCUUCGGGUUGUAAAGCACUUUUGGCAGGAAAGAAACGUCGCGGGUUAAUACCCCGCGGAACUGACGGUACCUGCAGAAUAAGCACCGGCUAACUACGUGCCAGCAGCCGCGGUAAUACGUAGGGUGCAAGCGUUAAAUCGGAAUUACUGGGCGUAAAGCGUGCGCAGGCGGUUCGGAAAGAAAGAUGUGAAAUCCCAGAGCUUAACUUUGGAACUGCAUUUUUAACUAACCCGGGCUAGAGUGUGUCAGAGGGAGGUGGAAUUCCGCGUGUAGCAGUGAAAUGCGUAGAUAUGCGGAGGAACACCGAUGGCGAAGGCAGCCUCCUGGGAUAACACUGACGCUCAUGCACGAAAAGCGUGGGGAGCAAACAGGAUUAGAUACCCUGGGUAGUCCACGCCCUAAAGCGAUGUCAAACUAGCUGUUGGGGUCUUCGGACCUUGGUAAGCGCAGCUAACGCGUGAAGUUGA
RNAcentral lists this ribosomal RNA (528 nucleotides) under uncultured bacterium. RNAcentral describes it as "partial 16S ribosomal RNA". It matches the Rfam family "Bacterial small subunit ribosomal RNA", at positions 355 to 868 of the family's 1533-position model. The record is from RNAcentral.